AUCUCGCUGAAUUGGUGUGCUCCUUCACACAAAAUGUCUUGCCAACCCCAGUGAGACCCAGCAGCCCCUAGCACUGUUUUUGGGUCUUGUGCCUAUCAAGUCUCUGGUCAGCACUGUCAGAGGAGCAGAAGAAGGAGAAUCUCCAUGUUGGUGGACUCUGCGGUUGAGGAUUUGUUGCAGACUGGGAGACAUGCAUUCUGUUUGCAAGCUGACAAAGUCUGUUCUACAUUCUGCUCCCAGCUACGUGACCAGGUUGUCUCUGUGCUAGGAAAAGAAAGCCACAAAAAUCCGACUCAAGAGCAGCAUGUAGGCUCCGUGCUCAAAGAGUUGAUAAAAACUUUUGGAUGUUAGGCUUAACACCUUCUUCACCCCAGCGGUUUCAUGCCAGCGAUAUUUCAAAGUGAUUCAAGGGCUCUUUUUUCCAGUGAACAGUGCUUAAAAGAUAGCAGGCUGCAAUGAGGAUUGUAACAGUGCUGUAACUAUUCUCAGGAAACUAUCAUUUGGGAAAGUCCUGGGAGAUAUCUUGGAGCUGUUUUGUGUUGUUCCCCAGUAAGGAGCAGAAGACACCUGCCAUUUAGUUAAAUGCCUUAUCUUGGCCUAUUUGGGAACCUCGUUUCAGAUGAAAGUGUCUAUGCUAAUCAAACAAAAUACUAUCAAAAGUGGUCCAGAUGAGAGUGAUAGCUUUAAAAAAAGCACUUUAAAAUGCUUGCGAUUUAUAGUUUUGUGUUAAAUCAGCUUAGCAUUCAUGAAAUAAAAGUGUUGACUACUUGCUGACAUUUUGUGUUUUUCUGAAGAUGAAGCUCAAAUACGAGGGCAGUAUGGGCCC
Molecule: long non-coding RNA, 826 nt
Filed under: Gallus gallus (chicken)
Lineage: Eukaryota; Metazoa; Chordata; Aves; Galliformes; Phasianidae
Description: lncRNA (ENSGALG00010016367.1)
Source: RNAcentral